AGAAGAAGAAGAAGAAGAAGAAGUUUGUACUUAAUUUAAAUCAAAAGAAAGUGAGGGUUUUUGUUGAUAACAUACUGCUUGGUGCAAAACAAUUAUUUUCCUUGAACAAUAGCAAUGAGUGGCUCUUCGGGUUUGAUUGAAAAUCAUAUAAAUUGUGUAGAUCAUUCCUAAGUGUGUGUUUAGUUGCUAUGCUACAGAGAAAAAUAUUUCCCAUUUUGUAUGUUAAAAUUAAGUAUUUUAUUUGUAAUCAAAUCUCAUUUUUUAUCAGAAACUGAACCUGUAACAGUGUUUCUCGCAGUGAUACUUAUCUGUCGUUAAAGCUGCAGUGAGACCAAAAAAAUCACAAAAGAAGAAACUGAAACAGUUUGAAUGUUUGAAUUGGAUGGUAUUCGUUAACUGCACAGGCAGACCUGCUGCAUGUAGAAGCUGGCUUGUCGGAGGAGCAGAGGGAGGGACAAGGCAUAUAUCGGAACCUGAGCUCUAAAUAUCUCCUACUCCUUACUGAUUGUCUUCUCCAGUCACAUCGCUUUGCCAAGGCCUUCAAUUCAAAUCAUGAACAACGUAACCUACUCUGGAAAGCAGGUUUCAGAGGUAAUGCGAAACCAAACCUUUUGAAGCAGGAGACUUCGGAUCCUGUUCAAAAUGUACGGUGAUGAAACGAGGCAGGACGCGUGGCCGACCAUCCAGCAGCGCCUUAUUGCGGUAUGUCGCGAAGCAUCAGAGUACUUUCUGUGCCUCCAAUCUGAGGCUCACCGUGAUGCCUGGACUUGCCUUCUCCUCCUGGUCCUUACAAGGAUAUUCAGGAUGUCUGAUGAAAGGAUGGGGGUGAGUGGUCAGCAUCACACCCCAGCCACACUUUACUUCCAGGAAAGGUACCCCUGACACUCAUUGGAUAGGAGGCUGGGUGGACCUCAGAGCUGGUCUGGAUGCAGAGGCUGAAAUAGAAUUCCUGUGCCUCUGCUGAGCAUUGAACCCCAAUCAUCUAGUCUCUAUUCCUGAGCUACCCUGGCUCCCAUAUUUUAUAGAAUAUUCUAUUUUAUUAUGUCGUUGAAUGUAAAGUAUUUGUAUCACUUUAAUUUUUGUGGUUUUGUGGCACCCAACCCGGUUCCAUAUCUGUUGCAGUUGCUGUUGUUGUGACUAGUGGGUUUGAUGAUUUCACCUUUUAUCAUGUGGAAUCCCUGUAAAGGACACUAUGUUUUUUUUUUAUCAGGCGUUUCAAAACAAUUAAGUUCAUUACAAUCCCACAGAGCAGUUACAGUGACAGAUGUUUAGAAUCUGUACAAUUUCUGUAGAACUGUUUCAUAGACUAGAGCAGCCGCAUUUAUUUGGCCUCGUAGCUCUGGCAAGGACUGGCAUUGGUGGUCUGUGGAUGCACAAACUGAUAAUAAAGAGGAUUAAUACAUGACAUUUCGGACACUCCCAGUUUACGUAUAUUUGUGCCUAAAUUAGGCCAACUUAAUAUUAGUAGGUAAUGAAAUAUUUACGAAACAGUUAGUGAUUAUGCAACAGAAUUUUUACAAAAUGGAAGGUGUUUUCAAGUAGUAAACAUUUGUAGUGUUGCAGAGUAUACAAAAGUUGCAGAGAUUAUGUUUAUGCCAUACACUGUCCUGUCCUACAUUAUCUCGUUAGAGAUUACAAUUCAUAAUAAAAGUAACCUUCCGUAGUUGGUUAGACAGUUUAGUAAUUCACUUCAUUCAACAAACUUUCUGUUGAUAUUAUUAUGGCAACAUAAUUCAGCACUUUAUGUCGGGUGGUGAAGCCAGGGGUAGAAUAAUUUGUAUGAUCACCGAUAGUUGGCAGCUUGGGGAAUGACAUCAAUCUUUUCUGACUCAUACAUCAAAUAGUUAAUAUGACCACUCACAGAAUGCAGCAUUAAUAGUUCACUUGAUCAUUCAUAGAUGGUAGUGUGGAAUGCGAUAACUAUAUUGUGCAUCAAGAGUUAAUUAAGUCCAUGUGACAUACGCAGCCUUGGAAAUGGCUUGCUGUACUAGUAGCAGACGGAAAAAUAAUGUGCUUGUUCUAAUUUGAUUUAAACUUUCCCGGUAAUGCUUACAUCACUGGAAGUUAUGAAAUAGUAAAAACAAAGCAAAUAGAUUAAUAAUUAUGCAGUGGAACCUCGACAUACAGCUCCUUGUUAUAGAGCGAACUCAGAUAUACCACAUCUGUGAUUACAUGUGUUUUACGUCAAAAACUUUCUCUACAGUUAUGUAAUUUUUCAUAAUCUAAUUGUUGUUAUUUUGUUAUAUUCUUCUCUUGUGUUGUAUCUGUAGUUAGCCGUCUGGCUGUUGAUGCAACACACUAAUAAUAAAGAACUGUAUUAUUAUUAGAUUGUAGUAUACAAAGUGUUA
Non-coding RNA from Zootermopsis nevadensis, 2348 nucleotides. The record is from RefSeq and is a predicted model, not a curated record. Lineage: Eukaryota; Metazoa; Arthropoda; Insecta; Blattodea; Termopsidae.